UUAAGUUCUCCUGAUAUUGCGAUUACGACAUCUUGUUUUCAAAGACAUCAGUUUCUCGCUGCAAUGACUUAUCGUAGUAAUUUGAUAAGUCUUGAUUUAAUAAAAAGCAGAUUCAUUACUCAUAAAGUCAUUGAUAAUUUUGAUAAGAAAAAUAUGUUACCCCAUUAACUCAAGUGUUGGGAAUUAUCUUGACCAAAAUAAUGCCCACGAAAAAAAGUAUUGUAUAUUACAUAAGCUUUAAUUUAAAAUUAAACAAAAGUCUCAAUAUUGCUGGAAAUUUUUUAAAAAUUGAGUAGAAAAAGUUUAACUUAUGUGUAAAUAUUGUUAUUUUGAAUCCCUUGUAUGGUCAGGUCAAAACAAAUGUUUGAAGCUCGGAAUAUUUCUGGAACUUUUCAAAGUUUUUUAUUUAUCAUGGAAUCAAAAUGAGGAAAUCCGUCAUUAUUUUAUAAAAAUCAAGUGACCCCUCAACUUGUAUGAGAAUUUUGUGUGAAAUAUCAGGAUAUGAUUAAUAUUUUUGUUGUUUAUAUAGCACCUCUGGGAAAUUAUGUUUAUAAUUCCAAUACGCGUAAAAUCUAAAGCAACACGGAAGUCAUCUCUAAAAGGUACGUUGGGCCAACUUAUAAGUUUAUACAAACCCUAGUUUAUAGAUAUUUUAAAAUUAUUAAAAAAAAUAUAUUAACCUUUUGAUUAUAUUAUAG
Molecule: long non-coding RNA, 698 nt
Organism: Daktulosphaira vitifoliae (grape phylloxera)
Lineage: Eukaryota; Metazoa; Arthropoda; Insecta; Hemiptera; Phylloxeridae
Exons: 3
Source: RefSeq, a predicted model, not a curated record